GGGGUACUGUUGUACUCGGGAGACUUCGCUGAACACAAAUGUUUGUGUUUCAAAACAGUAAAAAGUAUCACAGCAAUAAUAUUGUCCGUGUAAUGCUGUUUGUGCGUGAAAAAUGCAAAAAAGUCACUUUUACUGGCGAUAUCAUCGUUGUAAUACAUUUUACUGUUUUGAAACACUAAUAUUUGUGUUCAGCGAAGUCUCCCGAGUAGAACAGUGCCCCCCAUGUACAGGUUUUAUGGUGUCUUGGAAAGUUAUAGGGUUAAAUAUAGUGCUAGCAAAUUAAAUUCCCUUUACUUUCGGCAUGGGUUGUCAGGCAGGUCCUGCUAAUUGUAAUUAAUUAAGAUACCUAAUUAUGUAAAAAUAUUACAUAAAUA
Non-coding RNA from Pelobates cultripes (western spadefoot toad), 374 nucleotides. The record is from the annotation of a GenBank genome assembly. NCBI's taxonomy places the organism in Eukaryota, Metazoa, Chordata, Amphibia, Anura, Pelobatidae.